This 705-nucleotide ribosomal RNA is filed under the name Triticum aestivum (bread wheat). RNAcentral's name for it is "partial small subunit ribosomal RNA". Lineage: Eukaryota; Viridiplantae; Streptophyta; Magnoliopsida; Poales; Poaceae. The record is from RNAcentral.
AUGUGUCACUUCCAAGUGCUCUGUGAAGCGUUCUUUCAAGAGGAGCCCACAGUGGAACUGUUCAGAGACCUAUUCCAUCUAAACCGUCAUACUGAAUUUACUGACGGCUCCAAUACAGAGUUGGGUGGUGUGGCGAUUCAGAAAAGGAAAGAGGUCACAUACCCUCAUGCAAAACUGCAUAGCCACCCCAAAGAAUGGAAUCAGACAUGGUUCUACUGCAAAGACACCUCCCCUGCUGGUGAGAAUCCCUUGCCCGGCUUUCGACCGGAGCGGCUCAGCAACACACACCCUUCUCCACAGAGAUUGACUGCACAUGAGAGAAGUAAAUAUGCUCCUCAGCUAUCAAAGCUCAGAGCUUUUAUGGCCAACGGUUUAACAGGGGUUGAUCUUGCUCGCUGUUGGAUAUCAUGGAGCAUACUGCCUCUUAGUCUGCGCUCCGGUUUGAUGUGCCAGUAUACUGAUCGUGUUGAUGACCCACUGCGACACUCAAGACUCCAGCUCUCUGGUGAAGAAAUCACAGAGGCUGUGCAUAAGAUACUGAAUGAACCGGAACACAUAUGUGCCAGAACCGGCCUGCUUCCCUUCUGUGCCACCAACAAACCGCCAGCUGGCGAUGAUCCGUUUUGGAGAAAAAACUGUCGCAGGAGAAGCCAGAAAAACCAGACAAAACGGAAAGAGCAGCCCGGCAAAAGACUAAAGCUGUGA